CUGGGAUUACGGGCGUGAGCCACUGCGCUCGGCCGAUUUAAUGCCUUUUUUUUUUUAAUCUUCCUUGUCUUUCUCCUUGUGAAUGGAAAUAUCUAUAAUUUGUGUCCUAUGCCUGUCCCAUCAGUGUACUUUGGGAGCAGAUAAUUUGUGAGCCACCGCGCCCAGCCCAUUAGCUCCUACGUUUAACUCACUGUUGGUGAUCUUCCACUUCCUCCUACUGUUACCUUUGCAAGGAGUGUUUUGUUGUUGUUGUUGUUGUUUUUGACUUGGCAGGUGACAGUCCAAUGGCUACAACCAAGGAGUAUUUAACAAAGAAAAUUGAUUACUUGGAACAAGUAAACAGGACAGCUGGAAUAAAUCCCCACAUCAAUGCCUCCCUGAACAGGGCUGAGAUUCUUCCUGUAACUUUUCUAAAACAUCAAGAACUGGAGGUGCAACAGUUACAAUCCCCACAGUUCUCUUCUUCCGUGACAAGACCAAAGAACCUGGAUGAUGCUAAUCUAGAAGGACAUUCACAGCUCAUGAAAGAAUCAUCACUGCUAAUCAAAUCAGAGAGAAAACCCACCACUCUGCACCACUGGAGACAUUUCAUGUACUGAAUAUUUCAUAAGAUGGGGGCUGUAACUGAAGCAGAAAUUCUCAACAGCUUCAGGUUGCGUGCAAAUAUUUACUUAAACAUUCCAGCACAGUCCAACUGGUGUGCAGCACCAGCACCAGUGAGCCUGGAGUGAUCUUUAUAAAUUAUGGUAAUUAUAUGUGACAUGAUUCUUGCUAGGUCACAGGAGCUUGCCUUGGUCUUUCCCGCUUUGCCAGUAGUUCCCCUACUUGAAUGAUUAAGUGGGCAGGAUGCCACAGGAAACCGGAUGCAAGCACAAUGACAAAUGUCUGCUUUGACUGCUUAAAAUUGAGCCCAAUUGUUGAUCUGCAGAAACAACAAAACACAAUCAAGGACUGACACCAAGCCCCUGAGUCAGGAGAAUUGAAGAAUUGGUGUAGGGAUACGACUUGAAAGUCUUGGAAAAGGCUGCGUCAGUUUGUCAAAAUUUGCACCACCACUUUUCAUUACAUUUACACACAGUGCCCUGCUAUAGUUUUCUUUACAUUUAAAGAACAUUUUGGCAUCUACCAUCAUACAGAAUAAAAAUGUCAACGAUUCAAAGAAAACAAAAUAAUCAUUUUUAUUGUUUUCAAAGAUGAUUCUUGCAGUCUCCUGAUGAGUACUAGGAAUUUUUGGUGUAAAUAAAGAUUAAAAUAUCAAGAAUUAAGUAAGAAUAAGCUUAAGUAAUGAAAUUGCUUGGUUAAGUAAUGUAGGACAGUUGUAAAAGUUUGAUCAUAAGAAAUUCAUUUGCAGGAAUAGUGACCAAUAAGUCUAUACUUUAUGGUUAAACUUUGACAGUGAACUAUAUACUUCUUGAUAUCUUCUUAUAUUUCAUUAUUUUCUUUUUGAGAUGAUCGUGGUGAUUUCCUCUACUCUCAGAUUAUCCAGCUAAAGUUAUCUACAAGUUUUUUUUAACUGUUUAUACAUAUUAAGUGGAGUUUUUUUUUUUUUUUUUUUUUUUUUUUUUGAGGCAGAAUUUCACUCUGUCACCAGGCUGGAGUGCAAUGGUGUGAUCUCGGCUCACUGCAACCUCUGCCUCCCAGGUUCAAGUGAUUCUCCUGCUUCAGCCUCCUGAGUAGCUGGGACUACAGGUGCACGACACUAUGCCCAGCUGGUUUUCGUAUUUUUAGUAGAGACGAGAUUUCACCAUGUUGGCCAGGAUAGUCUCAAUCUCUUGACCUCAUAAUCUGCCUGCCUUGGCCUCCAAAAGUGCUGGGAUUACAGACGUGAACCACCGCGCCCGGCCAAGUGGAGUUUCUUUUAACAUUUGUAUACAUCUUAAUGUCUUGGAAUUUAAGUGCUCUUUUUUGGAGUCCAGCCUAGAAAUAGGCUUCCAAGUAUUAGUUAGAAGAAGGACUGAUGAGUCAAUGGUAAAAAGGAAGGAAAAUAAUAUAGCAAAUGGUUUACUUCCUUAAAAAUCAGGGGUAUAACAAAUAGGGCAAGAUAAUAGAGUGUUUGAUAUAUAAGCAAAAUUAAAAUUUUAUUUAAUGUUGCUAUAUAUAAAAUACCCACAAAUAUAUAAGUGAAAACGUUAGUAAUUCUCAAUACUGGUAUUUAUUCAAUUGAUUAGAAUGAUAGUAGAAACUAAAGAGAUAGCAAUAACAUUGAAAUUAAUUGGUGGAAAAUUAAAAUCAAGCUAUCAAAUUUAUGAUGUGUGUAAUUAAUAAGAUAAGAAUGAAUUUCUAGAUGAAAAUAAACUUUUUAGAUACACGUGAG
Molecule: long non-coding RNA, 2314 nt
Filed under: Homo sapiens (human)
Lineage: Eukaryota; Metazoa; Chordata; Mammalia; Primates; Hominidae
Description: HSALNT0057345
Source: RNAcentral